AAACCCUUUAACGAGGAUCUAUUGGAGGGCAAGUCUGGUGCCAGCAGCCGCGGUAAUUCCAGCUCCAAUAGCGUAUAUUAUUAUUGUUGCGGUUAAAAAGCUCGUAGUUGGAUCUCGGUUUCGGGCGAGCGGUGUACCUUGCGGUAUUUACUGUUUGCCCGGACGAUUUUGUUGGUUCGUUUAUGGUUCUCUUAACCGAGUGCCAUAAGUGGCCAGCACGUUUACUUUGAAAAAAUUGGAGUGCUCAAAGCAGGCGCUACAGCCUGAACAUUAGUGCAUGGAAUAAUGGAAUAGGAUCUCGGUUCUAUUUCGUUGGCUUUCGGAGUCGAGGUAAUGAUUAAUAGGGACAGACGGGGGCAUUCGUACUGCGACGUUAGAGGUGAAAUUCUUGGAUCGUCGCAAGACGAACUACUGCGAAAGCAUUUGCCAAGAAUGUUUUCAUUAAUCAAGAACGAAAGUUAGAGGUUCGAAGGCGAUCAGAUACCGCCCUAGUUCUAACCAUAAACGAUGUCGACCGGCGAUCCGUUAUCGUUAACUGAAUGACUUAACGGGCAGCCUCCGGGAAACCAGAGUGUUUGGAUUCCGGGGGAAGUAUGGUUGCAAAGCUGAAACUUAAAAGAAUUGACGGAAGGGCACCACCAGGAGUGGAGCCUGCGGCUUAAUUUGACCCAACACGGGAAAUCUCACCAGGCCCGGACACCGGAAGGAUUGACAGAUUGACAGCUCUUUCUUGAUUCGGUGGGUGGUGGUGCAUGGCCGUUCUUAGUUGGUGGAGCGAUUUGUCUGGUCAAUUCCGAUAACGAACGAGACUCUGGCCUACUAACUAGACGUUAGAUCCCUUUGUGGGUCUAUCGCAGCUUCUUAGAGGGACGGGCGGCGUUUAGCCGCACGAGAUUGAGCAAUAACAGGUCUGUGAUGCCCCUAGAUGUUCUGGGCUGCACGCGCGCUACACUGAAGGAAUCAGCGUGUGUUCCCUACCCGAAAGGGUUGGGAAACCCGUUGAACCUCCUUCGUGAUGGGGAUUGGGGAUUGCAAUUAUUCCCCAUGAACGAGGAAUUCCCAGUAGGCGCGAGUCAUAAGCUUGCGUCGAUUACGUCCCUGCCCUUUGUACACACCGCCCGUCGCUACUACCGAUCGAGUGAUUUAGUGAGGCCUUCGGACUGGUCUUCAGUAUGGCUUUCGGGUCGUGUUGGAGUACCGGAAAGAUGACCAAACUUGAUCACUUAGAGGAAGCAAAAGUCGUAACAAGGUUUCCGUAGGUGAACCUGCGGAAG
This 1274-nucleotide ribosomal RNA is filed under the name metagenome. RNAcentral's name for it is "SSU rRNA". It matches the Rfam family "Eukaryotic small subunit ribosomal RNA", at positions 527 to 1823 of the family's 1831-position model. The record is from RNAcentral.